This is a long non-coding RNA of Malaclemys terrapin pileata, 3480 nucleotides long. RefSeq lists it as uncharacterized. NCBI's taxonomy places the organism in Eukaryota, Metazoa, Chordata, Testudines, Emydidae. The transcript is spliced from 2 exons. The record is from RefSeq and is a predicted model, not a curated record.
GCGGCUACUGAUUUUGAGUGCCCAACUUGAGACGCCUUAAAAAGGAGCAGAUACUGAGAGAGCACCCACCCUCUGAAAAUCAACCUCUUUACAAAACAUUGGGGCUAAGAAAGAAAAAGAAAAGAAAGAAGCCCCCAAAAGUGACUGGUCACCUUUAAAUAUUCUAGGCCAUAGGAUAUAUUAUAUAUUGGGUCAAGUCCCUGCCUCCCCCCAACCCCCGCCCCAGGCAACCCCACUGACUUCAGCAGAGACAUGACACACAGAUGAACUUAUCCCAGGACAGUCACAAACGAUUCCGGCAUUUUGUUAGGCAUGAAACGUUUGUGAAAUGCAGAGACUUGGAAGGGGAUGGACGUUUGCUCGGCUCUUCGCACCGCAAUCACAGGCGGGUCUGAUUCAUCCUUCCUGUCUGAGGAUCAACAACUUGGACCCUACCCUAGCCAGGCCCACUUUUAGAGGAGAGAGCGGGUGACUCACUGAUCCCACAGGGAGCCCCUCACCAGAUUUCGAGCAUCCGUUUUCUGCACUGAAGCAUUCCUUCCCUUUGAGCUAGGAUAUGCUCCUAGCCCCGUUUCCUCCCCUAUGUGCCCUCCACCAUACCUCUCGGAAGAGCCAGUUUCUGCCCUGGAGGUGGGUGGACUCCUCUUUGAGCUUGCUCUGCCUCUGACGAACUAACAACGCAAGACCGAAAAUUAAAAUGUGUCCUGCUAGGAAGAAAAGGGAUUAAGAACGGCCUGUCAGGAAGCACAUUGCAAGGAGAUGGGAUGUACUCAGGUAUCAUUAGAACGGCUGGAAGUGAAACUUCCCACCUGAGGCGAGGGAGUCUCAAUCGAGGUGGAGAACAACAGCCUGUUUACAGGCUGGCCCUGGGGCAGGCUGGAGGAUUUACGAAGACAAAAGAACCCCAAGAAGAGUCUGAGAUGGGGGACCUCCGGGGGUAAGAGACAAUAACUAUAAUUUGUGUCUUAUGUUUUUCUUUUACCGGUAACCUUAUAUUUCCAAAUCCUUAUCCUUGCUUUCACUUCAAUCUUUGUCUCAAGCCUUGUUCAAUAAACGUGGACAGGCCUAUGGUAAAGCCAGAUUUAACUGCCUUGUGCAAAGGAGAGUGUUGAACUGCAGUGGACUUCCAUGAUCAUGCGGCUUGCGGGAAUCACCCAAACUGAAAUUGCACCAGCUAACAGAGGUGCGUCUGCAGCGCUGGAUGAAGAUAGGAGGGCAGAAGCACGUAUUGGCAUUGAAGAUCUUAGAGCAUCUGCUGCCACAGCACAAGUAGCCACCGAACAGUGGUGAAACAGCCUUUUCAUGACAUCCUGCCUGCAAUCAGGCAGGCUCAUGUUUCAUCAGUGAGUCACGGUCACGGCCAAGCUACUUUCACCUCGGGGAAACCAACAGGGCUGUCAAAUCCUUAGCGCAAACGAGAGAGACUUCACGUUUUCCAUUGCAGCAAUGCCCCCUCUGUUAGGACAUAACGCAGGACAUUCAACCAGCUGGCAAAUGCAGAAGUCAGAAAUCAUCUUAGGGUCUCUCCUUCGGUCUCACAACCAACCUCCUUCUUGGAACUCCUGCAGGUGCAAGAUGAAGCAAGGAUGGGGACUGUCGACCACUUAGCACUUAGAGAAAACCUCCUUGGCAGUCUGUGGGAAGAGACUCCCAUCAGGAAGCAGAGCUCACUCUGGGUUAGAGGGCUGAGUGAUGGGGCUGAAAGAGAGCGUCCCCCAGGGAGCUAGUGGGUGGAAGCCCCAUCAUUUGGAGCCUUAGAAACUGGACAAGUGAAGGGCUCGAGAACACACUCCACUGACAGCAAUCUUUCUUCCAACCAGAGAGCGCCGGGUGGGACUACUCUGGAGCACUCCCAAGUCACACUGGCCAGAGAGUAGAGCGGUUACGGAGUAAUCCGUUCCCUUAAGGGGCAGGCAAGGGCAUUAGCUCUGCAGCACUCAGGGUUAGCAGGGGCUGGAGCCUAUGCUUGGCUGCCAAGUCAUUAACCCCUCUCUUGCUGGGGGAAUGUUUCUUUCUGGGAAUCUAGACCUCGCUAUGGUUGCUCUCGAGAAUCCAGGGCACUGUGCCCAGAGACAUGGCCUCAGGGAGUGGGGUGGCCUGGGGAACCGAGCUAAGCCCUGCAUGUAGCUGUCCCACCCUGAGGAGCAUCUCCUUCCGCUGUAGGUCUGAUGCGUCCCCACCUGCAGCCUGGAUACGUUCCUAAGUACUGUGCUGCUCUGCGUGAAGAAGUUGUUAACCAGCACCAUGAAGGGGAAUAGAGAGCAGGGGUGGAAUCCAAGGCCUCUGAAGUGUGCAAGCCCCAAGGAUAACUGCGCAGGUCAGGGAAUCAGCCACAGCGUCUUCAGUGUGUAACAAACAGCUACAGCUUGUGACAUGAGGCUACCUGCUUUGGGGGAGAGGCUGACUUUGGUAUCGAGCCUCAUGUGCCAAUCUCAAACGCUGGACAAACAAGGGAGAUGCUCUAGAUUUCUCUUCCCUCUUCUCCACAUAUGCACGGAAUCCGAUGGGCUUACACCUGGGAUGACUUUGGUCCAUUCAUUAUGGUCAAUCAGGCCACUGCCUUUCUCCCUCCUACAAUUGCAGCCCCUUGGAACUCAGGGAGGAGGAGUUGCUUUUGCAAGCUUCAGACAGGCCUCUGCUGGGAGACUCAAACCAUCAGGUACAAAUCAGCAAAACAAAGUGCCGGGAAUUUCCUAGGCCAAAAUUAGCCCUGGUGUAACGCCAUUUGACAACAGAAGUUGUUACAUCAAGGAUGAACUUGACCUCUUAUUAAAUAUGCCGGCCCAAAGCUGGUGUGAAACAGACAAGCUGUGCAAGAGAAGGGUGCUGAACUACAUGGUGCAGCCACAGUGCUUCAAGCUAUCCUCUUCCAAGCUAAGCAGGGGCAGGCUAGGCCAGCACUGGGAAGGGAGACCAAUUCUCAAGAAGCUGGUUUUUGGGAGCAGUGUAGACGAGCGAGUGUUGAGAGAAUGUGGAAUUGGUCAAUGCUACGCUUGGCUGAUGCAGUAACUCAUGGUGUGGAAUGCUAUCAGAAGCUCCAUAGAACACAUCACCGGACAUCAGCAAUACCAGGAGGGAUGAGCUGGAGUGUGGAUGAGAAGCCUAGUGGGGAAAGUAACUGAAAUAUUUCCUCAUGGACUGUAUUUUCUGACUGAACAACCUACCUACAUUCUCAAUUACUGAGGGACAAUCUUCACUCAUUGAUCUACAGUAUGUGCUUUCCACAGACAACUCUCUGUAUAACUUUUCAGGAGCGAUGUACCCGAAUACUUGGAUGCUAAUAUCUAAACUGUAUUCUUAAAUGUAUUCUCCUAAAUUUGGGUGACUGCUGAUUAUGCACUAUAUGUAGCUUAUGACUUUAAAAACAAACUUUGUAUUUGUGGCUAAUCUAAGCACUAUACCCAGAUGUACAGACACUCUUUUCUCAACCUGUGGAUUAUAUAAUUUUAACAUUAGCUUUAAUAAAAUAUUUAAAUAGUC